GACGAACGCUGGCGGCGUGCUUAACACAUGCAAGUCGAACGGUGAAGCGCCUUCCUUUUUGGUGGGUGUGGAUGAGUGGCGAACGGGUGAGUAACACGUGAGUAACCUGCCCACUUCUUCUGGAUAACCGCAUGAAAGUGUGGCUAAUACGGGAUAUUCUGGGUCUGUCGCAUGAUGGGUCUGGGAAAGAUAUUGUUUCGGUGGGGGAUGGGCUCGCGGCCUAUCAGCUUGUUGGUGGGGUGAUGGCCUACCAAGGCGGUGACGGGUAGCCGGCCUGAGAGGGUGGACGGUCACACGGGGACUGAGACACGGCCCAGACUCCUACGGGAGGCAGCAGUGGGGAAUAUUGCACAAUGGGCGCAAGCCUGAUGCAGCGACGCCGCGUGAGGGAUGGAGGCCUUCGGGUUGUGAACCUCUUUCGCCAGUGAAGCAGGCCUGCCUCGUUUGUGGGUGGGUUGACGGUAGCUGGAUAAGAAGCGCCGGCUAACUACGUG
RNAcentral lists this ribosomal RNA (494 nucleotides) under uncultured bacterium. RNAcentral's name for it is "partial 16S ribosomal RNA". It matches the Rfam family "Bacterial small subunit ribosomal RNA", at positions 28 to 507 of the family's 1533-position model. The record is from RNAcentral.